CAGGUCGGGCCGUUGCGCAGGCGGAGGUGCCAGCCCCCGCAGCGGGCCAUGUCGGCAGCCCCCAUCCGCCGGCCGCCUUGCCGCCCGCGUCCCCGCCGGCGGCGGCGGCCCCGGACCCGCCGAUCCGCCGCGGCUGCGGCCGGCCCCCCAGCCGAGGGCGCGUAGGAGGGCCGGGCCGCCCCGGUCGGGCCGUUGCGCAGGCGGAGGUGCCAGCCCCCGCAGCGGGCCAUGUCGGCAGCCCCCAUCCGCCGGCCGCCUUGCCGCCCGUGUCCCCGCCGGCGGCGGCGGCCCCGGACCCGCCGAUCCGCCGCGGCCGCGGCCGGCCCCCCAGCCGAGGGCGCGUAGGAGGGCCGGGCCGCCCCGGUCGGGCCGUUGCGCAGGCGGAGGUGCCAGCCCCCGCAGCGGGCCAUGUCGGC
This 416-nucleotide long non-coding RNA is filed under the name Volvox carteri. RNAcentral's name for it is "long non-coding RNA (VCAR_LNC001707)". The record is from RNAcentral. Lineage: Eukaryota; Viridiplantae; Chlorophyta; Chlorophyceae; Chlamydomonadales; Volvocaceae.